Molecule: long non-coding RNA, 491 nt
Filed under: Canis lupus familiaris (dog)
Lineage: Eukaryota; Metazoa; Chordata; Mammalia; Carnivora; Canidae
Description: lncRNA (ENSCAFG00030021128.1)
Source: RNAcentral
AUGCCACUUCAGGGCCGUGAGCAGGGAGGGAGGGACCCCGGGGGGACAGCCAGGGACCUGCCCUCACAGAGACAGAGGCUGGUGUGGACAGCGAGCCAAGUGGCUGCACCCGGAGGGGUCGGGGAGGGGCCUGGCGGAGUGAGGAGCCAUGCCCACGAACCGGAGGGCUUCCCGGAGGACAGACAGCUGCGCGGAGAUCCUGGAGGCCCGUCUCCCGGGCCACGCCGGUUCUCCCCACGGCGUCUCCCAGUAUGUGUGGAGGAGGCAGCAAGGAGACGUCUGUGUCGCCCGCCCGCACGGGUGGCGCCACCAGCCUGCCCACAAGCCAUCUGCCUCUUUCCUCUCCCGGGGAGCAGAGACGCAGGGAGGAGGAGACGCUGGCUGGAGCCAGAGCUGGGAGCACCUGCCAGAACCCAUCCAGUGCCCGGCCCUGCUGGCCAGUGCUCCUGCCUAUCCCAGCUCUGGCAGGUUGGGUGAGAAGGCCUGAGCAG